Monodelphis domestica (gray short-tailed opossum) is the source of this 566-nucleotide long non-coding RNA. RefSeq lists it as uncharacterized. NCBI's taxonomy places the organism in Eukaryota, Metazoa, Chordata, Mammalia, Didelphimorphia, Didelphidae. The record is from RefSeq and is a predicted model, not a curated record.
UUUUAGCCUCUAGUAGUGGAGGAGGACAAGAGCCCAUCUAUGAGAGCAGCCAUAGCUAAGGAGGGAAGGCUGAAGGGAGAAGCUAAUCAAAAAUCCUUCUUCUCUCUCUGAGCCAACCUUAAACCAUCAGCUGUCUAUGUUUUCUCUUUACCACCAACAAACCACUCCAUUACAAUACCUUACUGUAUUCAUAGCUAGUUCUGAGUGGCUGCAAGUUUUCAGUGAAUCCAGAAUUGUAUGACCCUGGGCAAGAUGCAGUCUUUGCUUUUUUGGUCUAUGCUUUGAUCCUUACCAAGAUAGACUCUCUGCUUCCUUGUGACCCACCACAAGCACUCCUUUCUGCACUGGAACUGCAACCGGAUACUGUGUUAGAGCUCUAUACCUAGAUGAUGAUGAUGGCAAUGAUAAUGAUGCUGGUGGUGGUGAUGAUGAAUAAAGGAAAAGAUGCUGUUGCCCACUAAGUACUAAGAUUCCAAAGACCACCUCUUCUAUAACAUGCUCAGAGCUUUUCAGGGGGAGAAUAAUGUUCAAUGUCUACCUACUUAAUAAAUGAAAAUUGAAUUGAA